CAAUUCAUUUCCCUUACUUCUCCGAAUACAUCACGGAAAAAACAAGACUACCAAAACUCUCCCUUUUUUUCUUUUUUUUUUGAAACACACCAAAGCUCUCUGUAUUCGAAUCGUGAUAAACCUAAAAUCACAAAGUCACAAGAUCUACACACAGAGCUUGACUCAAAUCAACCUCUCACGAUUCAACCCUCUCUCUCUCUCUCUCUAGGCCGUGAUGAAAGCUUUGUCUACAACGCUUGACUCGAGUCAGAUUCGAGCCACAAUCAGAGAUGGCGAGUGACAAAUAGAGGUGGCGGAGCAGUGCCGGUGGCAAGUCGGAAGACGUCUGUCCUUCAUAAGCAGAGGCGAGAAGACGCUUCAAUGGACAACGACUCAGAUCUACUCCAUAUUCAGAUGGCUCAUCAGCCGCUGCAUCUCCGGCUUUGUCACCGCGUCUCCGUUGUGUCUCCGGCUUCGUCGCUGCGUCUCCGGACUAUCCCUCUCAGGUGGACCUUUGCUGUUAAUGGAGCUUGCGUUUUUGUUUAGAGGAGUUGGUGCUGAAGUUGUUUAGAGCAUAAAUCAGAAACCAGUUGAAGCAGAUGAAGUGGUUAAUGUUUUGGAACACAAGAAGUUGGAUCGAGGAGUUUAGGUGAAACUGAUCCAUGCUUCUAAGACUAUUGCUUACCUUCGGGAGUAGCUGUUUCACAACAUGGAGGAAGUGCUUGGAGGAACAAAACAUGGAGCUGCUGAAGACUAGUGGCAAAGUGAUUUUGCCAGUUUUGAAAGUUAUGUAGUAGGUUGAGUUAUUAGACGUGGUAUGUGUAUUUAAGAUAAGUUAUGCUGUACAAAAUUAUGUAGAAUAUUAUUCAAAUAAAUGAAAUAAAAUAGCAUUACAAAAUACAGGAUCAAUUGAUGUCGUUCUUAGUUUUUUUUU
Brassica oleracea var. oleracea is the source of this 913-nucleotide long non-coding RNA. RefSeq lists it as uncharacterized. The record is from RefSeq and is a predicted model, not a curated record. NCBI's taxonomy places the organism in Eukaryota, Viridiplantae, Streptophyta, Magnoliopsida, Brassicales, Brassicaceae. The transcript has 3 exons.